This 857-nucleotide ribosomal RNA is filed under the name Gammarus incoercitus. RNAcentral describes it as "partial 16S ribosomal RNA". The stretch from base 381 to 527 matches the Rfam family "Bacterial large subunit ribosomal RNA", at positions 1796 to 2008 of the family's 2925-position model. The record is from RNAcentral. Lineage: Eukaryota; Metazoa; Arthropoda; Malacostraca; Amphipoda; Gammaridae.
ACUAAGAAAGUUUAGUUACUGUACCUUUUGUACCAGGGAAAUUUAAAAGCGGAUUAAGGUUAUAGUCGAUUUUAUCGGAUUCUUUUAUCUAACUGAUGAUUGUAUUAAAUGGUUAUAUAUUUAAAGGGGUGAAAAGUGUUCGACGAUGAUGGUAUCUAAGUAUCUUAAAAAUUUUAAAAGGCUAAGCUUUUAAAAUUUCAUCUCAUUUAAAAUUAAAUAAAACUAGGCUUUAAAUUAGCUUUGUUUUUAAAUUGUUUUAAAUAAAUUUAUGACAAAAAAUUAGGUGUGAAGUUAAAUAGAUUACGGGUAAAGCUUACAAUAGCCUUAAAUAAUGAAUUUAUUGAAUUUAUAAUGGAGAUAAAAAAGAACUAAGGUUUAAUUGGAAAGUUUAACAAAAACAUUUCUGUUUGUUAAAUAAAAAGUAAGACCUGCCCGGUGAGGUUUAAACGGCUGCGGUAUUUUGACUGUGCUAAGGUAGCAUAAUCAUUUGUUUUUUAAUUGUUAACUGGAAUGAAAGGUCAAACCAAUUGACUCAGUUUGUAGGUCUUUAUAAGAGAUUUAAGUAUAGGUAAGAAUUCCUAUAUCUUCUAGGGGACGAUAAGACCCUAGAAGCUUAAUAAAAAGUUUUAUGGUGGUGAUAAAAAGUAAAUUGUUUUACUGGGGCGGUUAUAGUUUAUUAACUACUAUGUAGUUAGAUGAUCCUUUGUAUAAAGAUAAAAUGGUUUAGUUACUCUAGGGGUAACAGUACAAUAUAUUUAGAGAGAUCUUAUCAAUAAAUAUGUUUGUAACCUCGAUGUUGAAUUAAGAUAUCUACGUAGGGCAGGUAAGACGAUAGAAGGUUUGUUCAACCUUUAAUU